Molecule: unclassified non-coding RNA, 1991 nt
Filed under: Leishmania donovani
Lineage: Eukaryota; Euglenozoa; Kinetoplastea; Trypanosomatida; Trypanosomatidae
Description: gene:LdHU3.15.1450(CDS-product:hypothetical_prote in_conserved)
Source: RNAcentral
GUGCAGGCGUGGGUGUGUGAACGCACCUUCGUCUCCUUUUUCGGGCACAUAGCUGGUGCUUCCUCCUUUCCCGUGCGUUGCGCUGGCGCGCACCUACGCACACACACACACACACACACGUGCGACAGAAGGGCGUCCCACCCCACCACCACCACCCUACACACCCAUACAGCAUACCUGUCAGCCAUGGCCACGGCCGCGGAUUACGUUGGCAAGAACUGCCCCUACUGCGGGGCCAUCGACAGCAUCGAAACGGACGAGGCGCGCGGUGAGGCUGCAUGUGUAAAUUGUGCUACCGUGGUGGCGAUGGGUCUCGAGGAGAACGUGGCAACGCGUUUCGAGAAGGACGCGACGUACGCGGACGUCGACCGCGGCGGCGACGUCGGCUGGGACCCUGAAAACGGCGGCGCCAUUGGCCGUGCGACGGCAAGGAAUGCAGGUUUGACCCGAGAGGAAGCGGCGGCCGCCGCUGCAGGCCUCUUGCGGCACCCCAACGCUGCCGCUUCGGCCUUUAGCGCGGGUCCGUUCGGCGACACAGCCAAGUACGCGAAGACCAAACUUCACCCGCGAAUGUCGGCUCAACUGGAGGUGUUCUUCCGUCUUUCUCGUCGCCAUGACGAGGCAAUCUUGCGCGACGCCAUUGCCUUGGCGAAGCACUUCGUCGGAUUUCGCCGAGAGCGUGGCAUGCGAGUUGAGCAUCAGACGGAGGUGGCGGCGGCGUCCGUGAUGUUGGCGGCCGAACGCCUGGGGCAGCCGAUCCCGUUGAGCGAGAUGCGCGUGUUGGAUGGGACGCUCAAGGAUGUGGAGUCCCGACGGCAAGAAAUCCUCGAUGCGACGAACCUGGGCGAGGAGAUGGCGCAGAUGGCGAAACACUACGCGCCGAAUCUGAUCCAUUACUACGUGCGGCUGCUGCAGCUGCCUCUCAUCCGCUACGAGAUGCCCUGCCUUGCCCUCUUCCGCGCGAUACGUCAGUGCGAAAGCAAGCCUGGCCCCGGCGCGUCGGAGCUGGCGGUGUUCGUGGAGGCGGAAAAGGUGGUCAUGGCAGUGUUGCUGGCGCGCACAGAGCCGCGGCUGCGGUGGCCAAACAAACCACCGCCGCCCGCCGACCCGAGCGCCGAGCCGUCACGCGCCACCUUGUACAGCGGCUUUGCGUCCAGCGCGCAUCUGCAGCCGGUGCGCGUGGAGAAGCUUAUGCGGGUGGCGGAGAGGGCGGUCCCGCUGAUCCGGCCCGAGUUUGAGCGGCUCAUGCAGACGCCAGAGUUCGCGAUGGCUGCCGUCCAUACCAUGGGUGAGGCUGUGGUGAGCAUGACCGUGAAGACGGAGGACACCAAGUCCUACGCACCAGUGAAAUCGGAGCCAAUACCGACCAGCGCGCCGUCGGCGCCAAACAUCGCUGGGGGUAACCGGAAGCGCAGUCGCAGCCGCUCCACUACUCCACAAGUACCACCGUCCUCGGCGUCGCAGGAGCGGUGAUGUGGAUGGUAUGGGAAAAGGGCGACGGUGCUCCUCGUUAUCGUCGUCUACAUGGCCAGUGGGCUGUGUCACCGCACGAAGAAGAGGAGAAAACGCGAAAAGGCGCGCGUGCCGUGGUUGUUUGGGGCACGUCGGCACUGCACAACAGAUUCCCGGUGCGGUAGUGAUGGGAAGAGCUCCUGGCGGAUUUCCCGUUUGCAAGGGCCAGGGGAGGGGGGGGCGGAUGAAGGGCCUCCCUUCCUCGGUGCAAGUCCCUUGACAGCUGGCGACGCCCUUGCGCGCUCUCCUAACGAAGGCCGCAUGCACGCGAUGAUGAACUCGUAAUGAGUGCAUCGCGACAACGGGCAGCAGCAGCACACAAGCACACACGAGAGUCACAAACGCCGGCCCUGCUCGCUUCUCCGCACCACCACCCCCUCACGCGCCUACGCCGGCCCCUUUCGAAGACGGGCCGCCGUUGUUUUUUUUUGCUUUUUGGCCCUGCCUCUUGAUCACAGGUCACGUCUCACCACACAGAG